GCACCAUUCUAGGAAUUCUAGAAAUAUUAAGGCAUUUAAUUCUCACAAUAACCUUAUGGAAGAGAGACUGUGAUCAUCAUUCCUGUUUACACAGAAGGGACUGAGCGUGGAGGUGUUAGAUGGCUUGUCGAAGGUCCUAAGGUAGUGGUGGACUCGGAAUUCAGACAUGGGCAGUCUUGUUCUAGACACUGUGGCCUUUACCCAUGCGUGGUCCUGCUCUGUGUUGUAUGCUUUGAUCCGCCUCAUCCACACUGAUUUUGCACAAAUCAAAUCCCAUUGUCUGGUUGCUAUCUUUAGUUUUUCUCCUGUUCGAAGUGAUAUUGGAUCAAUGGAAUCUCUAAUAUUUCUUAGUAUCAGUCAUUAUUUUGUGAAGCAUUUGCUCUAAAACUUAAAAAUAUAUCUAAUCAGCAAUUGAUGUAAGUAAUCUAUGUUUCUCAUAGAAAAUAUGAUGAAGAAGAGAAGAUAGAAAAGUAACUAUGCCACAGUCUCACCCGUGUUAAACAUUUCGGCAGAAGAUUUUUCUUGGCUGCCAUGCUCGCUGUCUCCUCAUUGCAAAUUUGUCACGAGCCCCGUCUCCUCCAGCCUGUCCUACAUGUUGCUGUGGGCCCACCAGGUGUGAGGACAGUGGAACUCAUUGGCACAGGAGAUGAAGAAGCAAAACUAAACAUCUUUAGACAUCAUCUCUCCAUUCCCAACAAAGACCCCUUCCCACAGAGCAAACGCUGAGGCAAAAAAUGAACCUGAAUCCUUUAUAGCUCACAAUGCCAGCAAAUGAAGUGAAAGAACGCAGACGCUACCGAAAUGAGCUUCAUGUCUGAAGGAGGACUUGGACGUGAUCUCGUUUGAGGAGCUCUGAGAAUUAAUUCUGAAACGCUGGAUUGAAGACUACAGUUGGACUUUUAAACAAAAAAGGCAAAUUCAGACACUGCAACUUCAGAAGAAGGUCAGCAGAAUCUCUCUCCUUCCUGGGCAGGAUAAAACGACCUCUUCAGCUCAUCCUGUAAUUGUCUGGGUCUGUUGUUUGUGGUAAAAAAUUUAUUCCACGAGUUGGUCAGGAACUUGUCUUUCGAGAUUCAACAAUCAGGCUUUUGAGUCAAAGCUUGUUCUCGCCAGCUACUGUCUCUGCUGUGAGCUUCAAAAGCCUCUUUUGAAAAAGGUGAGUUUUCCUCUCUUCAUUUCUGCUACAUAACAACCUUCUCUUAAGGGCACGAAUUUAGAAUGGAGCAGGGAGGGGGAGGUGGGGGUGGGGAGAGAGAAGCAGAAAAUACUUGGAAUGAAAGACACAUUGCUGUGUCUUCCCCCACUUUUGCUCUAGAGUUUGCAUUUCUGCAAAGAAAAUUGAUUUCAAAUUUAGUAUGCCCUCCCCACCCACAAGCGGGUGGAAACAAGGUCUGUGUGUACCCCAAGGAGAGUCACUCAGGCGAGGUGGCCCACGGCGGUGCCAUGGCUGUCCCUAUAUCUCUGGGAUGUGCAGGAAAGCCCAGGCCCCCUCAUUUUCCCAGGUGACCUUCCUCCUCCCAGCACUGCCCACUGACCCCACUCAGGCCCCGGGGCUCAGCCACAAGUACAGGAAGAGCUUGGUCAAACUGGGGUCAUCCUCAGAGGAAGCUUGUACAGCUGGGGCUGAAUUGCUGCCUCUGCUUAAAGAUUCCAGGUAUUUUGGGCUCGUUCCCCAAUCCUAGCAGAGGAAAUACAUUUAGAAUGAUAGACCUUUGUAGUCAUUUCUCUCAGUUGUCUUAAGGAUCUUAGUGUUGGUUGAUCGUAAAGCCAGUGGGUCUGGUGGAAACAUCGAAGAGUCAGGUGAGGAAGGAAUAGCCGGCCCCAGUGGUGUCUGGGAAUGUGUGUCAGGACAGCAUUCAGACAGAAAACCCACUCACACCCAUAGAUGCAAAUCUGAUGAUGGGAAAUCUUAACAAAGACGGCUCAGCAGAAAUGCUAAGCGUAAUGAUCGGAAAGCUUGCCAGUUUGUCACCAUAGCUAACAUGGAUGUAUUAGUUGGGACAAUACAGAUGCUAACUUAAUGGCUAAGAGGAUGGGCUCUGAAGCCAGGCUGUCUGCGUUCAAAUCCCAGUCCUUCACUUAUUUCUGUGUGACCCGGGGUAAGUUACUUAACUUCUCUGUGCUUCAUUUUUCUCAUUUGUAAGACAGAGGCAGUUACAGUGUCCACCGUAGGAUGAUUGAAAGAAACAAGCUUAUUAGUCAUAUAAAGCAUUUAGAAUGAUGCCUGGCGCAUGUAAGCCUUCUUUUUGUCAUCAUCGUCAUUAUGUUGUCUGCAUAGGGCUGGGAGGCCGACAUUCUGUGCUUAUUGAGCAUCUCUCAUUGUGGGUUGGCCAAUGGGAUACCCCAGACUUUGCACAUGCCGGGCUAUAGGAAUCAUUGCAAAGUGAUCACGUUGCACUGGGCUGCCUUCUGCAAUGCCACCAAAGCGUGGGUGUAGGAGAAGGCCAGUGGCCUCCUGCACUUCCAGCACCAGCCCCUGAGAAAUGCUGUGGAGCACAAGCUUCUUGGUCAGGCUUGAAUCUGUGCAAAUGCCUGCUGGCUAAGGGAAGGGAAGGUUGCACACAAGCGAAAGCUUGUAGCUGGCAUUUCUCAAGUAGAAAUGAAUCUAUAAACAUGCAUAAAAAUGGUUAUAUAAAUUAAUGCUUGUACUUGGCUGUGAGUAACAGAGACCUGACUUCAAUGGCUUAACACUCAGGGUUUAUUCUCUUGUAUGAAAGACUUCUGGAGGUAGUUGGUCCAGGGCUGCUCUCUUGGCUCCACAAAGUCAUCUGGGACCCAGCUUCUUCUAUGUCCCUGAUCCACUACACUGGCUUGCAUUUGUAAGAUAACCUCAAGCUUAUGACUCCUGGCAACAGUAUGGCUGCUGGAGCUCCAGCCAUCAUAUUUCAGGCAACAGGAAGGAAGAAGAAAGGAAGAAGGGCUUGCAUUUCCUUUGAAGGAGCUUUCCCCGAAGUUUUCCACCAACAUUUCCACCUAUGUCUCUUUGACCUAGAACUUCAUCAUUUGGCCAAGGGAAGUUGGGGAGUAGUUUCAACUGGUUGUGUUCCUACUUUAAACCAAGGUGGGGUCUGUCAUUAAGAAAGGUGAGGGAAAUGGAUAUUGGAUAGGAAUUAGCAGUCUCUGCUCUAAUUCUGAAAUGAAAUUCUCACCCCAUUCUGAAAAAAACUGCAGGUCUGAAUCCAAGAAACUGCGGCAAUCACAGACCCCUGACCUAGAAGCAGGGCACCCAC
Equus caballus (horse) is the source of this 3230-nucleotide non-coding RNA. The record is from RefSeq and is a predicted model, not a curated record. NCBI's taxonomy places the organism in Eukaryota, Metazoa, Chordata, Mammalia, Perissodactyla, Equidae.